GAAAGGAGAACGGCAACGGCAACGGGAAAACCGCGCGAGGACUGGGAUGAGGAAGUAAUGACGAGUGCAGUUGUAAACAAAGUAAGCAAGCACAAAACGGCAAAACGCGAGCUUUCUUGCUCCUUUAUUCCCGACUGCUAUCGCAAUUUUUCGUUUUAUUCAUUUAAAUUAUAUUUCUUCACUUAAACGAGCAAGAGAGAAACUUCCGCAGAGCCAAGCUGAUGGAAUCAUAGCCGACGAGGAGUUUGUUUUGCUUUACGAUUUAAACAAACCAGACAAUCUUGUUCCCCCGUACGAAAACUAAAAAAAUGUUUCACAAGGAUCUUUUGGAGGAAGAUGAGUGCUUAUCUGAAUUCAGGUUUCACAAGCGAGAUAUUCCUGCAAUAUCUGCAAAAGGAUCUCCAUUGGACAACUGUUUCGGAUUCAUCGAUGGAAAUGUAGUGAGACCUAUUUGCCGACCAAACCAGCACCAGGAGAUUGUGUACAAUGGCCUCAAACGAGUUCAUAGUAUAAAGUUCCAGUCCGUGGCUCCCGAGUGGCAUGAUAGGGAACAUUUAUGGACCAAUAGAGGGAAAACGACAUGAUGCUUUCAUGCUGCGGGAGUCUGGCCUCCCCCACGAUCUUGAGCUGCAUGCAUUCUCUAGCCUCCUGCACCACAUCCACUAUGCCUUUAUGGAGACCCAGCAUAUCCCCUCCGCAUUCAUCCACAAGGCCCCUCCGGCAAUACAGUCCACCCCCUCACACCACAGAUGGAAGAGUUUAAUGAAUCAAAUGGACAUCCGUGGAGUAGCUCCUUGGGGACAUUGUAAAUUAUUUUAAGUUUAUUGAUUAAAUAAAAUUUUAAGAUUGUUCCGUCUUCAGUAAGAAAAGCUUAUAUUGUCUUUGCUCUUCUUAGAAAUGCCUUAAAUUCACUCUAUGGAAACACUACUUCUCAGUUUUUUUAUCAAAAAAAUAUACUUAGAUUAAAAUACUUCUAUGUCACCAUAAUCAAAAUAAGCAUCAGAUAAAAGUUUUUUUAACAUUUUAAUGAUAUUUUUAAUAACAUUAAUAUAGCCAUAAAAAAGCAAAUAUUUUGAAUAAGGUUUAUAUUCAGAUGCGAGAAAGCCUUGCACUGGAAGAACAUCACAAAUCUGUGUAAGCUAAGAAAGUAAUAAAUUACUUCACUAUAAAUAAUAAAGUUCAAUAAAUAAUUUUCUGAAACUA
Nematostella vectensis (starlet sea anemone) is the source of this 1203-nucleotide long non-coding RNA. RefSeq lists it as uncharacterized. The transcript has 2 exons. Lineage: Eukaryota; Metazoa; Cnidaria; Anthozoa; Actiniaria; Edwardsiidae. The record is from RefSeq and is a predicted model, not a curated record.